CCUACGGGAGGCUGCAGUGGGGAAUAUUGGACAAUGGGCGAAAGCCUGAUCCAGCCAUGCCGCGUGUGUGAAGAAGGCCUUCGGGUUGUAAAGCACUUUCAGUGGGGAAGAAAGCCUUGGGGCUAAUACCCUCGAGGAAGGACAUCACCCACAGAAGAAGCACCGGCUAACUCCGUGCCAGCAGCCGCGGUAAUACGGAGGGUGCGAGCGUUAAUCGGAAUUACUGGGCGUAAAGCGCGCGUAGGCGGUCUGAUAAGCCGGUUGUGAAAGCCCCGGGCUCAACCUGGGAACGGCAUCCGGAACUGUCCGGCUAGAGUGGAGGAGAGGAAGGUAGAAUUCCCGGUGUAGCGGUGAAAUGCGUAGAGAUCGGGAGGAAUACCAGUGGCGAAGGCGGGCUUCUGGACUGACACUGACGCUGAGGUGCGAAAGCGUGGGUAGCAAACAGGAUUAGAUACCCGAGUAGUC
RNAcentral lists this ribosomal RNA (465 nucleotides) under Vreelandella stevensii. RNAcentral's name for it is "partial 16S ribosomal RNA". It matches the Rfam family "Bacterial small subunit ribosomal RNA", at positions 338 to 795 of the family's 1533-position model. Lineage: Bacteria; Pseudomonadati; Pseudomonadota; Gammaproteobacteria; Oceanospirillales; Halomonadaceae. The record is from RNAcentral.